Long non-coding RNA from Balaenoptera musculus (blue whale), 194 nucleotides. RefSeq lists it as uncharacterized. The record is from RefSeq and is a predicted model, not a curated record. The transcript has 3 exons. Lineage: Eukaryota; Metazoa; Chordata; Mammalia; Artiodactyla; Balaenopteridae.
GAAAAGACACGGAUAGACGUAUCCUAAAGGCAGAGGGAGGAGGAUGGCGAAGGAGAGAAGAAUGCCGUGACUAUUCUCGUAUUCUACCUGGCUCUGACUACAGGGAUUUCUCACAAAGACAUAUGAUAAAGAAUGGAGAAGGGGCUUCCCUGGUGGCACAGUGAUUAAAAAUCCGCCUGCCAAUGCAGGGGACA